This 347-nucleotide ribosomal RNA is filed under the name uncultured soil bacterium. Its description in RNAcentral is "bacterial SSU rRNA". It matches the Rfam family "Bacterial small subunit ribosomal RNA", at positions 26 to 375 of the family's 1533-position model. The record is from RNAcentral.
AGGAUAAACGCUGGCGGCGUGCCUUAUGCAUGCAAGUCGAACGGUCUUUCCGCUUUCGGGCGGAAAGGUAGUGGCGAACGGGUGAGUAACACGUAUGUAACCUGUCCGGAAGUGGGGAAUAACCCUCCGAAAGGAGAGCUAAUUCCGCAUGUGGUCGCCGGUGAGAGACCGGUGGACAAAAGCUUUUGCGCUUCCGGAGGGGCGUGCGGCCGAUUAGCUUGUUGGUGGGGUAACGGCUCACCAAGGCGACGAUCGGUAGCUGGUCUGAGAGGACGGCCAGUCACACGGGGACUGAGACACGGCCCCGACUCCUACGGGAGGCAGCAGCAAGGAAUUUGCGCAAUGGG